This is a long non-coding RNA of Etheostoma spectabile (orangethroat darter), 214 nucleotides long. RefSeq lists it as uncharacterized. The transcript is spliced from 3 exons. Lineage: Eukaryota; Metazoa; Chordata; Actinopteri; Perciformes; Percidae. The record is from RefSeq and is a predicted model, not a curated record.
ACUGGAGACUCUCAGUCUUUCAGGCUGUCUGAUCUAAGAGGAAGGCUGUUCUUCUCUGGUCUCAGCUCUGAGCUCCAACCCCUCCCAUCUGAGAGAGCUGGACCUGAGCUACAAUCAUCCAGGAGACUCAGGAGUGAAGCUGCUGUCAGCGGGACUGAAGGAUCCUCUCUGGAGACUGGACACUCUCAGGGUGGAGCCUGCUGGAGUCAGAUGG